UCCAGCUCUGUGCUCCCCUCCUUAAGCAUCUCCAGGAGUGGAAGGCUUCAUACAUAUUACCGAGUUGGCGGCCAGGCCUCAGGCCCUCGUGCCCCGGCAGCGCAGUGGGGGCGGUGAGCUGGUGCCAUCGCCGCCUCAGAGGAGGAAGCCGAGACCGCAGGGCCCUCAGGCCGGGCAGGCCCAGGGCCUCCGCUGCGCCCCGGGGCGGGCCUGCGUUCGUUCGCCCCGCAACUCCCUGCAGGUGUGAGGGGCUCGGCCGUCCCUCCCCUCCUCGGCUCUCCUGGCCCAGUGCUGCCUGGGUUCAGCGCCUGCAAAUGUUGUCUCUUGCCCCGUUUCCUCGUGGAGGGCGCCUGAGUCUCGUUCUAGGUUCUCCAUCCUGGCAAGCAGGCCCUGGCGUUUGACCGAAGCACGAGCAAGAGGGUGAACCAUGCUUAAGGCCAACAGGGUUGAACCUGGGAGUAGCCAGAAGAAUAGAAGUCUGAAAGAGCGUAAUCCAUGUGUCCUGUGCACCUGCAACCGACAAUGCUACAUCACCUUGAUUACUGGUUGCUAUACCUGCGAGUGGCAAGUCAAACAGGAGAAAAUGUCUAGACCUGGACCCUGCUGCUGCUGUUGGAGAGAGCGAUUAUUUUACCCAUUUGUGAUUAUUUCAUUUUUCUUGUCUGUGAUUUUGCUGUUCGUGUGGAUAGAAACUUCAAAUGAAUACUUUGGCUUUGACUGGGUCGUUUUUCUAGGUACAGGAUACUGGUUCUUUUGGUCCAUUGUUUUGCUCAGUUUAUUUGGGAUCCUGGCUGCCUACUCUUCAUUGCUGGUGGUACUUGCAUUUUUGUUAGUUUGGGAAGGGUAUGAACUAUACCUGCACUGGUGUCAUAAGAUCGUGAUUCUGAUAGUGAUUAUGAUAUGCUCAUUUUUUCUCUGGAUUUUAUGCAAGUUCUGGCGAGACAGGUGGCUGACAGCUGGGCUGUCACUUCAGGUCUUUGCUCCUUACAUACACCUGAGCAGCAUAACUGUGAUGGUUAUCCUUUCCUGGCCUGUGGCCUUCUACUUGAUCCAUUUGGAAGAAGAAGCUAGAGUCAGAAGAUACAAGAUGGCACACAAUGACAGAGAAAGAACCAAGAGAUGUAAUAUAAUCACAAAGUUGAGAGCUCUACAGGUGGCUAUUGGAUUGCCUUUUUUCUUCAUCCUUUUAUGUCUCUAUGUUGUGCCAUUGGGGAUUCAUUCUCCCUGCAUUCAGGAGGAGGGUAAAUUGGGACCCAAGCCAGACUUCUUUGGACAUAGAGGGGCACCCAUGCUGGGGCCUGAGAAUACCAUGAUGGCCUUUGAGAAAGCUGUUGAACAAGGGGCCUAUGGGCUGGAGAGUGAUGUACAUUUAAGUUAUGAUCUUGUGCCUUUUCUUAUGCAUGACAGUGACCUGAGAAGAACAACCAAUAUUAGGGAGGUCAUGCCAAAUGCCUCCUUCACACACAGUAGCCUCUUCACGUGGAGUUUCCUGUCGACUCUGAAUGCAGGCAAAUGGUUUGUACAAUCACGGUUCAAACCAUUUUACAAAAUGAAACGCCUCUCAAAGGCUGAUCGUGAAAAAGCAGAAAAUCAGACGAUUCCAAGACUAACUGAUUUAUUGGAACUUGCACAGAAGGAACAAAAAUUUGUGAUAUUUGAUCUUAAUGGCCCUACACGAAAACAUCCUCUCAGAAACACAUAUGUUCGCCAUGUAGUAAGCGUGAUCCUUGCAUCUAAAAUUGAGCAACAUCUGAUUUUUUGGUUGUCAAGUUUUGAUAGGCAGUAUGUCAGAAACGCAGCUCCUGGUUUUCAGCAAGUGGGCCGGUUAUUUUCCAUUGAACGUCUUACAAAAGAAAAUAUCAGUAUAAUAAAUGUUGACUACAAGAGGUUAUUCUACAGUGGGUUGAGAGAUUAUAAAGCAGCUAACAUCACAAUCAAUUUAUACAUCGUCAAUGAACCUUGGCUCUACUCACUGGCCUGGUGCUCCAGGAUUCAUUCAGUGACCACAGACAACAUUCAGAUCCUGAGGCAGAUAAAUCACCCUUACUUCUUCAUGACACCAGGUUACUAUAUGUUCAUGUGGCUUUUCAUGGAUAGUGUUUCUGCGGUUCUCAUUGUUACCAUAUUUUAUUUUCAUUGGUGGAGAGAGAGGAAAAAAGAAAUGUUCGAUAAUGCCAGCAUUUACACAGAUCCUAAAAGUAUAAGCCUCCAAAAGAGAGAACAGGGAAGUCAAGGAUCUUCAAAUGUAUCCACAAAGGCUCCCUUCCGAGUUAUGGAAAGUCCUUGGACUCUAGCAGCCCUCUACCCAACUUUAACCAAGAACACAAAGAAACACCCAGGCACUCAUCAUUUUUUAGUAGUCCCCAAGAAGAAAGCCAGUGAACCAGAGCAAGCCAAGAAAACCAUAAAACCACUGAUGCCUCAGAAGGAUGCUGUUAGACAGCUGGCAUCCACCGAGAAGUCAUUUGAACCCACAUGGGAUGCUACCAGAAAGGCUACCUUCCAAACUGCAUUACCUUCCCCGAAGAUGAAUAAACCAACAAUUUCUUCCUUAGAGAUCCUUGAAUCUGAAACAGAACCUGAAAAUACCUCCAGUAGUGAGCCCUCCCAAGAAUCCUCUCUUAUGUUUUCUACCACAUCCAGCAUAUUCUCCUCUGGGCUGCUUUCAAAGAAGAAUUAGCUACAUCUUGCCUUCUUCUUCCUUUUUGUUUCUGUGCGUAAGAGUGGUGAUGGUGGAUAGUGGUCAAGAAAGGAGUGCAGAGGGCCAUUGAGGCUCUCAGGAGGAUCGCUCUGGUCUAGCAUUUUCCAUAAAGAAUGCAUCUCAAAGGUAUGGGCAAGGGAGUUGUGGUCUUGGAGCUGGAGCUGGUUGUUCUCUGAUGUUACAGGGUUUCUCAUCUUAACCCUUCAUAACACUCCCUGCUAAAGGAAUGGCUUUGUGCGUAUCAGCAUGGGAAUAAAGACAACCUCUCAGGAACCCAGAAGAGAAAUGGUGUAUUCUUUGAACCCUUCUGUGAUCACUCAGGUUGACAGAAACUAGGGGAUGAGUUCAAAAGUGAUGCCAUCCUAAGUCAGAGAAUGAGAAACGGCAUAGGACAUGGGCAUGAGUUGGAGGAAAGAUCAUCUUACAUGCACAUUCUGUGAUCUAGCGUGUAGUGAGAUGCUUCCUAAUAGCUUGUUGAUGGCUGAUUCUCCAAUGGGAUGAUGGGCAUAAUCCCAUGCCCACCCAAUGGCCCUAGACCUUGAGCAAAAAUCAGAGCCACAGCAAGUGUCUGGAGACUUACCGAUUUGGAGGAUUCCAAAGAAGGCAAGCAUGGAUCUACCAAGUGAAAGAAGCAAUGCAAUGAGAUAAAAGUGGAAUAUUUUUAGAUACUUUAUUAAUCAAACCAAGCAUAUCCUCUAGAGCUUUAUCCUCUUGACACUAAGAUAUUCAGGAACCAGCAGCCCCUGACAUAGAAAAUGAGUCAUGGAAAACCCCUGAACAGGGGCCACCUUCCAGCCAGCCUAACCCCCCAGAACUUUCAGAUGUCCAAGCUUCCUCUGUGUC
Molecule: RNA transcript, 3544 nt
Organism: Canis lupus familiaris (dog)
Lineage: Eukaryota; Metazoa; Chordata; Mammalia; Carnivora; Canidae
Gene: GDPD4
Gene name: glycerophosphodiester phosphodiesterase domain containing 4
Exons: 18
Source: RefSeq, a predicted model, not a curated record